This 730-nucleotide ribosomal RNA is filed under the name uncultured bacterium. RNAcentral describes it as "bacterial SSU rRNA". It matches the Rfam family "Bacterial small subunit ribosomal RNA", at positions 771 to 1501 of the family's 1533-position model. The record is from RNAcentral.
AACAGGAUUAGAUACCCUGGUAGUCCACGCCGUAAACGAUGUCGACUUGGAGGUUGUGCCCUUGAGGCGUGGCUUCCGGAGCUAACGCGUUAAGUCGACCGCCUGGGGAGUACGGCCGCAAGGUUAAAACUCAAAUGAAUUGACGGGGGCCCGCACAAGCGGUGGAGCAUGUGGUUUAAUUCGAUGCAACGCGAAGAACCUUACCUACUCUUGACAUCCAGAGAACUUUCCAGAGAUGGAUUGGUGCCUUCGGGAACUCUGAGACAGGUGCUGCAUGGCUGUCGUCAGCUCGUGUUGUGAAAUGUUGGGUUAAGUCCCGCAACGAGCGCAACCCUUAUCCUUUGUUGCCAGCGGUCCGGCCGGGAACUCAAAGGAGACUGCCAGUGAUAAACCGGAGGAAGGUGGGGAUGACGUCAAGUCAUCAUGGCCCUUACGAGUAGGGCUACACACGUGCUACAAUGGCGCAUACAAAGAGAAGCGACCUCGCGAGAGCAAGCGGACCUCAUAAAGUGCGUCGUAGUCCGGAUUGGAGUCUGCAACUCGACUCCAUGAAGUCGGAAUCGCUAGUAAUCGUAGAUCAGAAUGCUACGGUGAAUACGUUCCCGGGCCUUAUACACACCGCCCGUCACACCAUGGGAGUGGGUUGCAAAAGAAGUAGGUAGCUUAACCUUCGGGAGGGCGCUUGCCACUUUGUGAUUCAUGACUGGGGUGAAGUCGUAACAAGGUAACC